RNAcentral lists this ribosomal RNA (439 nucleotides) under Amycosphaerella africana. RNAcentral's name for it is "eukaryotic LSU rRNA". The record is from RNAcentral. Lineage: Eukaryota; Fungi; Ascomycota; Dothideomycetes; Mycosphaerellales; Mycosphaerellaceae.
GGAGGAAGAUUCCGUAGGUGAACCUGCGGAUAUGCAUAUCAAUAAGCGGAGGAAGAUUCCGUAUGUGCGCCUGCGGAUAUGCAUAUCAAUGAGGGGAGGAUGCUUCUGUAUGUGGGGAUGAGGAUUUGCAUAGCGAUGAGGGGGAUAUGUUUCUCAAUGUGCGGUGGAGGAUUCAGAGAAUGAUCAGGGGUAUAAGCCUACAUAGGAGCCCGUGAUAUUCCGCGAGGCAAGCCUGUUCGAGCGUCAUUUCACCACUCAAGCCUAGCUUGGUAUUGGGCGUCGCGUUUCCGCGCGCCUUAAAGUCUCCGGCUGAGCAGUUCGUCUCUAAGCGUUGUGGCAUAUAUUUCGCUGAAGAGUUCGGACGGCUUUUGANCGUUAAAUCUUUCUUAAGGUUGACCUCGGAUCAGGUAGGGAUACCCGCUGAACUUAAGCAUAUCAA